UCAAAUUAAAUAAGUUUUUUACUUAAUUUUCUUUUGUUUCUGAUUUUUGGGUUUUGGUCUUUAAAUCUUAAUCUACAAAUCCUAAAAAUAAUUAUGGGUUCUUCUUUACUGUGCUUGUUAAGGUUGUAGCUUUCGAUUUGCUUUUAGGUUUAUGCUUAGAUUAUCGAGAUAAUUCGAGAUAAUUGGGGUACUAGCAAAUCCCUAAUUUUGAUUUUGAUUUUGAUUUUUAAGUAUGAUUAAUUUGAUUUUGAUUUGAUUUUUGAUCCACAAUUGAAUCUCCAAACGCAAAAACAGCUUUUACAAUUAUGUUUUUAGGUACAUGCAUCUAGCGAGAAUGAAUAUUUCUUCAAUUUCACCUUUAAUUUCUCUGACCCAUUUGAAAAUAUGCAGGAAUCAGAAGUAAUUUUUCUUGAAUAGCCAUCGCCUAAAGCUCUUUCUCAGUGUCGACUGCUCUUUCGCUGGAGGUUCAACAUGACAGGAAUUGGAUGAUGCAAAGGUCAAGGUGGAACUGGCCGUGGACGUGGCCAUUUUCAAGGACGUGGCAAUUCUGGAGUGACGUCUCAUCCACAAUUGCAAGCUAAGGGUAAAUACUAGAGCAUCCCUAGAGAACAGGGAAUCAAAUAAUCCUUGUCAAGAACCUAUAGAGAGUGGACAAAUAUCAAACAAUCCUUUGCAGAGACCUUCUGUAGAGACAGUAUCAUCAAGAAAUCUGGACAGAAGUGUGUAUCCUUCUCCAGAAGCUGAAAGUGGUAGUGCAGUUUCUUCCAGGAACAAAAAGAGAGGAAGAGGAAAAUAUAAAUCUAAAACUGUAGAUAUUAAAGCUAAGUACGGCGGAAAAAUCACAAUUACGACCCCAGAUGACAUUGAUAGAGCAGUAGGUGCUGGGGCAAGAGAUAUUGUUAAUUACUGUGGUUUGAUCAUGAGGAGCACUAUCUCAUUCCGGGAUGGAAAUUGGCAAAAGAUGGCUUCAAAAUAUGGAGUAACAAUGUGGUUAAAGGUUAAGGCUGUAAGCGAGAGAAAUAGAAAGAACAGGGAAAAACAGAUAACUAAGCAUACUUGUGGUACAAGGUCUUUUGCAGAAGCAGAGGAAUCGACGGCGAAAAGAUAUUUAUUAUAGAGGAAGAGGCUAGUGUGUCUUCUGCUAUGGCAACUAUGCGCCAAGAAAUGCAAGCUGAGAUGAGUCGAAAGUUGCAAGAAGAACGUGAACAAAUGGUUGCCGAAUUAAAAAGUAACAUGGAACAAGAGUUGCAAAGGAAGUUGGAAGAGCAGGUUGAGCACGUGAAUGCGGAAGUAGACAACCGGAUCAGUGUAGAAGUAGCCAAGAGGAUUCAAGAACAACCGGCUGCUAUCAUGACUGGAAUGCAACAGGUGAUCUACUCUUAAUGUUUCGGGACAAGGUUCUUAAACAGUGGUGACAAUGAAGGAGGAGCUUGAAGCUAAGGCACUCAAUGUUUUGCUUCUUGGUUAUUUGUAAAUGCGUACAAUGACAAUGAAGUAUUACGAAGUAUAUAUGCGGAGGAACUUAAGACUAAGGCACUCAAUAUUUUGCUUUUUGGUUAUAUGUAUAUGCGUACAAUGACAAUGAUGUAUUACGUAGUGUAUAUGCGGAGGAACUUGAAGCUAAGGCACUCAAUAUUUUGCAUUUUGGUUAUAUGUAUAUGCGUACAAUGAAAAUGAAGUAUUGCAUAGUAUAUAUGUAACUGAACUUUUAGUAAUGGAAGUGUUUAGUAUUUGGUUUAGGAAA
Molecule: non-coding RNA, 1744 nt
Organism: Nicotiana tabacum (common tobacco)
Lineage: Eukaryota; Viridiplantae; Streptophyta; Magnoliopsida; Solanales; Solanaceae
Source: RefSeq, a predicted model, not a curated record